UACAGAGGGUGCGAGCGUUGUCCGGAAUCACUGGGCGUAAAGGGCGCGUAGGUGGCGCUCCAAGUCCAUGGUGAAAGCUCGAUGCUCAACAUCGAGUCGGCCACGGAUACUGGGGGGCUCGAGCACUGUAGAGGCAGAUGGAAUUCCGGGUGUAGCGGUGGAAUGCGUAGAGAUCCGGAAGAACACCGGUGGCGAAGGCGGUCUGCUGGGCAGUUGCUGACACUGAGGCGCAAAAGCGUGGGGAGCAAACAGG
RNAcentral lists this ribosomal RNA (253 nucleotides) under uncultured bacterium. RNAcentral's name for it is "partial 16S ribosomal RNA". It matches the Rfam family "Bacterial small subunit ribosomal RNA", at positions 524 to 776 of the family's 1533-position model. The record is from RNAcentral.